AGUAGGAUAGCUGGGCCAAAUGGUGGUUCCAUUCCAAGUUUUCUGAGGAAUCUCCAUACUGCUUUCCAGAGUGUUGCACCAAUUUGCAGUCCCACCGGCAAU
RNAcentral lists this microRNA precursor (102 nucleotides) under Marmota monax (woodchuck). The record is from RNAcentral. Lineage: Eukaryota; Metazoa; Chordata; Mammalia; Rodentia; Sciuridae.